AGAGUUUGAUCCUGGCUCAGAACGAAUGCUGGCGGCGUGCCUAACACAUGCAAGUCGAACGGAGAUAAGGGGCUUGCUCCUUAUUUUAGUGGCGCACGGGUGAGUAACGCGUGGAUAAUCUACCUUGGAAUCUGGGAUAACAUUUCGAAAGGGGUGCUAAUACCGGAUAAGACCACGAGCUCUUUGGAGUUUGCGGUAAAAGGGGGCCUCUGUAUAUGCUUCUGUUUCAAGAUGAGUCCGCGUACCAUUAGCUAGUUGGCAGGGUAAUGGCCUACCAAGGCGACGAUGGUUAGCUGGUCUGAGAGGAUGAUCAGCCACACUGGAACUGAGACACGGUCCAGACUCCUACGGGAGGCAGCAGUGGGGAAUUUUGCGCAAUGGGGGAAACCCUGACGCAGCAACGCCGCGUGAGUGAUGAAGGCCUUCGGGUCGUAAAGCUCUGUCAGAGGGAAAGAAGUGUAUGGCGGUU
Molecule: ribosomal RNA, 469 nt
Filed under: uncultured bacterium
Lineage: Bacteria
Description: bacterial SSU rRNA
Rfam family: Bacterial small subunit ribosomal RNA
Source: RNAcentral